Molecule: ribosomal RNA, 610 nt
Filed under: uncultured Lactococcus sp.
Lineage: Bacteria; Bacillati; Bacillota; Bacilli; Lactobacillales; Streptococcaceae
Description: bacterial SSU rRNA
Rfam family: Bacterial small subunit ribosomal RNA
Source: RNAcentral
UAGGGAAUCUUCGGCAAUGGACGAAAGUCUGACCGAGCAACGCCGCGUGAGUGAAGAAGGUUUUCGGAUCGUAAAACUCUGUUGGUAGAGAAGAAUGUUGGUGAGAGUGGAAAGCUCAUCAAGUGACGGUAACUACCCAGAAAGGGACGGCUAACUACGUGCCAGCAGCCGCGGUAAUACGUAGGUCCCGAGCGUUGUCCGGAUUUAUUGGGCGUAAAGCGAGCGCAGGUGGUUUAUUAAGUCUGGUGUAAAAGGCAGUGGCUCAACCAUUGUAUGCAUUGGAAACUGGUAGACUUGAGUGCAGGAGAGGAGAGUGGAAUUCCAUGUGUAGCGGUGAAAUGCGUAGAUAUAUGGAGGAACACCGGUGGCGAAAGCGGCUCUCUGGCCUGUAACUGACACUGAGGCUCGAAAGCGUGGGGAGCAAACAGGAUUAGAUACCCUGGUAGUCCACGCCGUAAACGAUGAGUGCUAGAUGUAGGGAGCUAUAAGUUCUCUGUAUCGCAGCUAACGCAAUAAGCACUCCGCCUGGGGAGUACGACCGCAAGGUUGAAACUCAAAGGAAUUGACGGGGGCCCGCACAAGCGGUGGAGCAUGUGGUUUAAUUCGAAGC